AACUCUUCAUUUAUCUAAAUGAAUAUUCAUUUCUUGAAGAUUUUUAAAGCGUUGGACUAAAAUUUAGCUAGUUUCUCCAAAAUUCAGCUUUGGGUGGAAGUAAUGACAAAUGAAAUCAGGUUGACUCAUCUUUCAUAAUGCUUUUCCAUCUGUCCUUUUGCUUUAGACCUGACUGCCUAUAGCUGGGGCUCAUACCUGGAUGCCUGCAAUCCUGAGAUAAACUUGGCAGUCAUUAGCACAUGGUUUUUGAAGACAGCGACACAGAUGGAACAUUUAAGGUGGAAAUAUGACGUGAGGAGAGAAGCUGACCCAGAAAUGAACCCCAACGAUUGCCAACAUUUCAGCCAGAGAAGAGGAUGGUAACAAAGGAGACCUGUGAAGGAGUAGCCAAAAAGUGAAAAUACGUUAAAGAAAGAAGCAUGAAGGGAAGAGGAACAAGUCGCUCCCUUCCCUCCAGCUUUGUGGUGCGCAUCUAGCACCCCUAUCGGCAGUCUUGCAAGGAGAUAACUGCCAGGCAGAAAUGUGGUUUGCAGAGUCCCAGCUCCAGCGAGGCGAAGCAGAGCACAGAAGGGGUUCACACCACAAACCGCAUGCUAAAUGAGGCUAUAAUCAAAAUGAAGAUCCAGACAAUGAGUAGGAAAGUAUGCUCUAAAAAGAUACAAUAUUCUUUCCAGACUUAUGAAGACGCUGAAAGUUAAAAGUUAAGAAUCUUUCCCAAAAGUACAGACCUAAAAGGAUGACAGAAUUAUAGGACCCCCAACCCGCUGACCCUUCAUCCAUAAUAAUUUUCACUGCAUAAUGUCACCUUUCUAAUAUCAGUAACAAACAAAUUUAGGGAUCUCCUAAAGCAUGCUAGAUACAAGUUAGAAUUAUUCCUUAAGAUAAGGCAAGAGCUUCAUUGGGUGCUGCCAUGACAUCAGCCAUUUCCAUUUCCGGUUGACAUUGCACCAAUGGGCUAAAGAAGGCCUGUUACGUAGUCAAGGACAGCUCUUGCUGUCCGCAGAACCACAUGCUUAACUCCGGCUGAAUUAACAAACAUUGACUUAUAAAAGGUACAUUAUCAAAUGCCAUUUUCAGAAUGCACAGGGAGUAGGAGAACUUUUAAUUCAUUUAACAAAACCAGAUUCUAGAGUACAAGGUACAUGGGAAGUGCUAAAUUAAUAACAUGAAAAGGACAUAGUCCCUAUUACCAAAAGAUUCACAUUCUUUGAAUCUUUUGGAUCUGAGCCUGGGUGGCUCUGUCAGGAAAGCAUCUGACUCUUGAUUUCAGCUCAGGUCAUGAUCUCAUGGUUUGUGGGACAGAGCCCCACAUUGGGCUCUGUGCUCACAGCACAGAGCCUGCUUGGGAUUCUCUCUCUCCCUGUCUCUCUGCCCCUCUCCCACUCGCUCUCACUCUUUCUCUCUCUCAAAAUAAAUACACUUAAAAAAAAGACUCAUUCUAAUUGAGCCAUCACAUCAGAUAAAUGAGAUCUGUGAAGUGUCAAAUGUUAUAUCAAUGUGGACACAUGAAAUGGAGACAGAGAACACAAGAAAUCUGUGUCAUCCUCACACAGCGACUAACUUAUUUCUCAUUUUUUCCAGCUGUAAUACACACCAAAAUCCAUGUUUACCCCCAUAAUUAGACACCACAGAACAACUCCUCAAAUUAUUAGGAACAUUUUCCUUUAGUUUGAUUACAGCUAAUAUAACUUAGAAGACAAGUAGCAGACUUUCAAAGGUAAACUAAGGUUCACAUGCAAAUCUUGAAAUGAGUUUGGGUGAACUACUUAAAAUAGCGUUGCCCUCCAUGAAUAAGGCUUUUCCCAUAGUAUUUAGUGGCACAAAAUUUACAGCAGCCAGGUCAGCAUUUUGUGUGUGGGGGAGAGAGAAGAAUCAAUGAAGGUUUCUAAGGCCUGGCAAAAUGCAGUGACAUGACAGGUUACGUGUGAAAAGAGGCUCAGACAAAAAAAUAAAUAAAUAAUGAUAAAUAAUGGAGAAAAUGGGAACAAGUGACCUCUCAGGAAAACCCACUUUAUCUUACGUACUAUUUUUUUCUUCUAUAAGCUGGAGAAAAUGGAUUGUGAGAAAAAAAUUUUAAAUAAAUAAAUACAUACACACACACACACACACACACACAACAGUCAGAGAAAUUAACAAUCAUUUGUUAGGUAAAUCUCUAAGCCCCAUCAAAUCAAUAUUCUCAGUAUAUAAUAAAAAUUACGACAGACUUCAAUGCUUCUGGGUCUCUCUCCUCUCUCUCCCUCCCUCUUUCUCAUAGUUCACUUAAAAUUUUUUUUAACGUUUAUUCAUUUUUGAGAGACAGAGAGAAACAGAGUAUGAGCAGGGAAGGAGCAGAGAGAGAGGGAGACACAGAAUCUGAAACAGGCUCCAGGCUCUGAGCUGUCAGCACGGAGCCUGACGCGGGGCUCAAACUCAGGCACUGCGAGAUCAUGACCUGAGCCGAAGUCGGAUGCUCAACAGACUGAACCACGCAGGCGCCCCUCUCAUAGUUCACUUAAAGUGAACCAUUUUCAGAGUACACAGCAGCUUGAAGGCAGAAAAUUCUGCAUUGUGAGAUGCCAGAGUAACAUCAGGAAUAAGCCUUUGCCCAUUUUAUGCCAGCAUAUCAGACCUGAACCUCUGUUUUCCAAGAAUCAGAAACAGGACUAUUUGCAGCAGCUUACCUCUGAGCCAGAAGGACACUAACAGAUUCUAAAGAAGAGAGACAACCCAAAAAUUUAAGAUCUGUUGAUGAGUGAAUGUGCACACACCCUCUAUCACAUAAAAUUUCCAAGUCUGUCCCCAACAAGGAACCUUGAAACCGCUGCUAAUCUCGAGAUAUUCACCAACACAUCAGGUUGAAUCCUUGACAAUUGCCUUCUUCAUUUCUGCUUUCAAUAAGCUCUUAAAUGAUUUGUUUAUCACUUGGGCCAUUUGGUGAUAAAUGGAGUUUAUUUAGUGUGUCCUCUAAUUAAUUAGUUUGCUUUCUGUGCUAUUAAUGGAGGCACAAGGAUACCCAUUAGCCCUUGGGAAGUGCUCUUGCACACAGCCUUUGAAAAAGGAAUGUUUCACAGCCUAUAAGGUUCUGACUCUUGGUAAUGCUGUUUGGGCUGCAAGAGGAAUUGGAGGAUUUUCCCAGGCAGUCGGGUUUUCCUUUAGCCCAAAAGGAAAAAUAAGUAUCCACAGGAUUGUGGUUCUUUUGAAGUGGCUGUAGUUUCACUGCAAUUUCCAUCCAAAGCAACAUGCGUUUUGUCAGGCUGAGGUUCAGCCAUUAGGUUGCUAAUUAAGUUAACAAGUGCUGUGUGCUGCUUAAUUUGGCAACAAGCUAUCCUACAGACUGUUCAAUAAGAAAAGCAGCAUUUCCAUAAUGAUUCUGUUUUUUAGCUUGGAAUUAAGCUAAAAACUCUAAUGAUCCCUAUGAAGGGACAUCUGAUGCACGUGUUCAAAAUGCAGAAAAGGAGAAUACACUGUUUUCCUUGUUGGACACUCACACCUUUUAUUUACACAUUUACUGCACAGUGUGGCUGAAAUAGGGGUAAUUGCCUGUGUACAUUUUUAAUUCAUCAUAAUUCAAAUAAAAUGUGUUUCUCUGCCCAACUUCCUUCUUACAGCUGUCAUUUUGCCCAACUGCAAAUUGACUUUCAGUAAUGGGUUCCAUUGCAGUGAGCUAAUUGUGGGUGUGAUUUAUUCUCUUGUUAUCCUUGGUUGAUGUGCCUCUCCUUCAGUUGUAGGGGUUAAAAAUGAGAUUCACUGGUUCAUUUAUUCAGUAGAUAUUUCCUGAGCAUCUAUUGUGUGUCAGAUAUUGCACUAGGCUCUGGGGACUCAGAGGAAAAAACGCACCUGGAGUGUCAUCUUGAUAGAGGUUCCAAAAGAAUCACCAUGUAUUUAUUCCAUCUAAGAAAACAUACCUUCAGGAGGACUAUUCCUGGACUAAGAUCUUGGAGACCAGCAUGUGCUGUAUAAAAAUACCUAAACUCAGUCACUAACCAAGGAAAGAAAAGGAAAUAAGUGAGUUGUUUAAUCUCUCUGGGCCUCAUUAGUUCAUUUAUAAAGUGGAAGGGAAUGGCUUACUUGUUAAAGUCCCUUUCAGCAGAUUUCUUGAAUAAUCCAUAUUCUCUCAUGACCUGUACUCAACUAAAUGCUAUUUCCUCAACCUAGAGUUCCUUUCUCCUUCCCUCUUCUAGUUCUGCAUAUUAAAAGACUACUCAGUCAAGUCUGUGGUCUACUUAAUUGUGUUGUAUCAAUACCAAUUUUCUAGUUUUGAUGAAUGUACUGGUUCUGUAACAUGGUACCAUUAAGAGAAGCUGGGCAGGGAGUACAUUGGAUCUCUCCAUGCUAUUUUGGCAACUUCUUAUAAGUCUGUAAUUAUUUAAAAUAAAACAUUUUUUUAAUACCCCCAUAUUCAUAACCUAUCUCGAAAACAAAAUUAAAACUGAAAUCAAUCUCUUCUUCCCUUAUCUCUAUUAUAACAUCUUGACUGCCUUAUAGUUACUAACGAAUCCACCUGCCUCUUUUGAUUCUUAACUCUGAGAGACAGAACUACAUCAGAUCUAUCUUUGCCUC
This is a long non-coding RNA of Acinonyx jubatus (cheetah), 4542 nucleotides long. RefSeq lists it as uncharacterized. The transcript has 3 exons. Lineage: Eukaryota; Metazoa; Chordata; Mammalia; Carnivora; Felidae. The record is from RefSeq and is a predicted model, not a curated record.